GGUUAAGCGACUAAGCGUACACGGUGGAUGCCCUGGCAGUCAGAGGCGAUGAAGGACGUGCUAAUCUGCGAUAAGCGUCGGUAAGGUGAUAUGAACCGUUAUAACCGGCGAUUUCCGAAUGGGGAAACCCAGUGUGAUUCGACACACUAUCAUUAACUGAAUCCAUAGGUUAAUGAGGCGAACCGGGGGAACUGAAACAUCUAAGUACCCCGAGGAAAAGAAAUCAACCGAGAUUCCCCCAGUAGCGGCGAGCGAACGGGGAGCAGCCCAGAGCCUGAAUCAGUGUGUGUGUUAGUGGAAGCGUCUGGAAAGGCGCGCGAUACAGGGUGACAGCCCCGUACACAAAAAUGCACAUGCUGUGAGCUCGAUGAGUAGGGCGGGACACGUGGUAUCCUGUCUGAAUAUGGGGGGACCAUCCUCCAAGGCUAAAUACUCCUGACUGACCGAUAGUGAACCAGUACCGUGAGGGAAAGGCGAAAAGAACCCCGGCGAGGGGAGUGAAAAAGAACCUGAAACCGUGUACGUACAAGCAGUGGGAGCACGCUUAGGCGUGUGACUGCGUACCUUUUGUAUAAUGGGUCAGCGACUUAUAUUCUGUAGCAAGGUUAACCGAAUAGGGGAGCCGAAGGGAAACCGAGUCUUAACUGGGCGUUAAGUUGCAGGGUAUAGACCCGAAACCCGGUGAUCUAGCCAUGGGCAGGUUGAAGGUUGGGUAACACUAACUGGAGGACCGAACCGACUAAUGUUGAAAAAUUAGCGGAUGACUUGUGGCUGGGGGUGAAAGGCCAAUCAAACCGGGAGAUAGCUGGUUCUCCCCGAAAGCUAUUUAGGUAGCGCCUCGUGAAUUCAUCUCCGGGGGUAGAGCACUGUUUCGGCAAGGGGGUCAUCCCGACUUACCAACCCGAUGCAAACUGCGAAUACCGGAGAAUGUUAUCACGGGAGACACACGGCGGGUGCUAACGUCCGUCGUGAAGAGGGAAACAACCCAGACCGCCAGCUAAGGUCCCAAAGUCAUGGUUAAGUGGGAAACGAUGUGGGAAGGCCCAGACAGCCAGGAUGUUGGCUUAGAAGCAGCCAUCAUUUAAAGAAAGCGUAAUAGCUCACUGGUCGAGUCGGCCUGCGCGGAAGAUGUAACGGGGCUAAACCAUGCACCGAAGCUGCGGCAGCGACGCUUAUGCGUUGUUGGGUAGGGGAGCGUUCUGUAAGCCUGCGAAGGUGUGCUGUGAGGCAUGCUGGAGGUAUCAGAAGUGCGAAUGCUGACAUAAGUAACGAUAAAGCGGGUGAAAAGCCCGCUCGCCGGAAGACCAAGGGUUCCUGUCCAACGUUAAUCGGGGCAGGGUGAGUCGACCCCUAAGGCGAGGCCGAAAGGCGUAGUCGAUGGGAAACAGGUUAAUAUUCCUGUACUUGGUGUUACUGCGAAGGGGGGACGGAGAAGGCUAUGUUGGCCGGGCGACGGUUGUCCCGGUUUAAGCGUGUAGGCUGGUUUUCCAGGCAAAUCCGGAAAAUCAAGGCUGAGGCGUGAUGACGAGGCACUACGGUGCUGAAGCAACAAAUGCCCUGCUUCCAGGAAAAGCCUCUAAGCAUCAGGUAACAUCAAAUCGUACCCCAAACCGACACAGGUGGUCAGGUAGAGAAUACCAAGGCGCUUGAGAGAACUCGGGUGAAGGAACUAGGCAAAAUGGUGCCGUAACUUCGGGAGAAGGCACGCUGAUAUGUAGGUGAAGUCCCUCGCGGAUGGAGCUGAAAUCAGUCGAAGAUACCAGCUGGCUGCAACUGUUUAUUAAAAACACAGCACUGUGCAAACACGAAAGUGGACGUAUACGGUGUGACGCCUGCCCGGUGCCGGAAGGUUAAUUGAUGGGGUUAGCGGUAACGCGAAGCUCUUGAUCGAAGCCCCGGUAAACGGCGGCCGUAACUAUAACGGUCCUAAGGUAGCGAAAUUCCUUGUCGGGUAAGUUCCGACCUGCACGAAUGGCGUAAUGAUGGCCAGGCUGUCUCCACCCGAGACUCAGUGAAAUUGAACUCGCUGUGAAGAUGCAGUGUACCCGCGGCAAGACGGAAAGACCCCGUGAACCUUUACUAUAGCUUGACACUGAACAUUGAGCCUUGAUGUGUAGGAUAGGUGGGAGGCUUUGAAGUGUGGACGCCAGUCUGCAUGGAGCCGACCUUGAAAUACCACCCUUUAAUGUUUGAUGUUCUAACGUUGACCCGUGAUCCGGGUUGCGGACAGUGUCUGGUGGGUAGUUUGACUGGGGCGGUCUCCUCCUAAAGAGUAACGGAGGAGCACGAAGGUUGGCUAAUCCUGGUCGGACAUCAGGAGGUUAGUGCAAUGGCAUAAGCCAGCUUGACUGCGAGCGUGACGGCGCGAGCAGGUGCGAAAGCAGGUCAUAGUGAUCCGGUGGUUCUGAAUGGAAGGGCCAUCGCUCAACGGAUAAAAGGUACUCCGGGGAUAACAGGCUGAUACCGCCCAAGAGUUCAUAUCGACGGCGGUGUUUGGCACCUCGAUGUCGGCUCAUCACAUCCUGGGGCUGAAGUAGGUCCCAAGGGUAUGGCUGUUCGCCAUUUAAAGUGGUACGCGAGCUGGGUUUAGAACGUCGUGAGACAGUUCGGUCCCUAUCUGCCGUGGGCGCUGGAGAACUGAGGGGGGCUGCUCCUAGUACGAGAGGACCGGAGUGGACGCAUCACUGGUGUUCGGGUUGUCAUGCCAAUGGCACUGCCCGGUAGCUAAAUGCGGAAGAGAUAAGUGCUGAAAGCAUCUAAGCACGAAACUUGCCCCGAGAUGAGUUCUCCCUGACCCUUUAAGGGUCCUGAAGGAACGUUGAAGACGACGACGUUGAUAGGCCGGGUGUGUAAGCGCAGCGAUGCGUUGAGCUAACCGGUACUAAUGAACCGUGAGGCUUAACCUU
This 2906-nucleotide ribosomal RNA is filed under the name Escherichia coli. RNAcentral's name for it is "23S ribosomal RNA". It matches the Rfam family "Bacterial large subunit ribosomal RNA". The record is from RNAcentral. Lineage: Bacteria; Pseudomonadati; Pseudomonadota; Gammaproteobacteria; Enterobacterales; Enterobacteriaceae.